AACGAACGCUGGCGGCGCGCCUAAUACAUGCAAGUCGAGCGAGAAGACGUAGCAAUACGUUUGUAAAGCGGCGAACGGGUGAGGAAUACAUGGGUAACCUACCCUUGAGUGGGGAAGUAACUAGCCGAAAGGUUAGCUAAUACCGCGUACGCUCCUUGGACUUCGGUUCAGGGAGGAAAGCGAUACCGUGGGUAUCGCGCUCUUGGAUGGGCUCAUGUCCUAUCAGCUUGUUGGUGAGGUAACGGCUCACCAAGGCUUCGACGGGUAGCUGGUCUGAGAGGACGAUCUGCCACACUGGCACUGCGACACGGGCCAGACUCCUACGGGAGGCAGCAGUAAGGAAUAUUGCGCAAUGGGCGAAAGCCUGACGCAGCGACGCCGCGUGGGGGA
This 390-nucleotide ribosomal RNA is filed under the name uncultured bacterium. Its description in RNAcentral is "bacterial SSU rRNA". It matches the Rfam family "Bacterial small subunit ribosomal RNA", at positions 29 to 408 of the family's 1533-position model. The record is from RNAcentral.